This is a non-coding RNA of Lolium perenne, 433 nucleotides long. Lineage: Eukaryota; Viridiplantae; Streptophyta; Magnoliopsida; Poales; Poaceae. The record is from RefSeq and is a predicted model, not a curated record.
UUUCAUAGAUUAUCUCCAACAAUCAGGUAUAUAUGUACUGAUAUAUCUUCUAUUCCCGCUGGAAAGUUUCCUCCCAUAUAUAAUGUAGUUAAAGGUGUAAGUGCAUGAAGUUGCUUUAUAUGUGAUACUAUAACCAUUGUCGAAAGCCUUCAGGUUUGCGUAAUGGACUACAUUCAUCUUCGAUAACACACGAGGGAGGAACUACGUGUUGACUGUUAAGGUGUGUUGUGAAAUUCUCUCUGAUUGACCUCUAGAUGUACCUUUAACCACGCGUCAGUGUGCAGUCGCUCCAAUGUGUAGCCCUUUUAAAAUGCAAGAUUGACAAUGUGGUUACUUUUCAUUUCAAAUUGUACUAUCAUGGAUCAGCACUUUCCAUUAUUGUAAAUGGUUACCAUGUAAUCAUUGAAAAUUAAAAGUGAUAUAUUUUCCACUC